AUGUCCGCGGUGGUCUCCCUCUCUAAAGUCAACAAUCUGCGUGCCGCUCUCACCAACGCCCAGAAGGGCACACAAUCUGCAUCAGCAUACUUCGGCUACUUGUGUUCCCUCUCCGACGAGCUCGCGGCGGCGUGGAGACCACUUGGAGAGCCAAAACUCAUCUCGUUCAUCGUUGUCGGUCUGGACAUGGACUAUCAACCACUUAUCUCUGUGCUUGAUGUCUGCACCGAGCCCAUCAGGGUGGAUCUUCUCUUCUCCCUGGUGGCCAACUUCGACCAGUGGGUCGAGCUAUAUCAUGGCAAUGGUUCUGGUGGCUUCAAGUCUUCAACAAACUUGGCCUCGCGAGGACGAUAG
RNAcentral lists this ribosomal RNA (354 nucleotides) under Triticum aestivum (bread wheat). RNAcentral's name for it is "partial small subunit ribosomal RNA". The record is from RNAcentral. Lineage: Eukaryota; Viridiplantae; Streptophyta; Magnoliopsida; Poales; Poaceae.